This 466-nucleotide ribosomal RNA is filed under the name uncultured bacterium. RNAcentral describes it as "partial 16S ribosomal RNA". It matches the Rfam family "Bacterial small subunit ribosomal RNA", at positions 28 to 507 of the family's 1533-position model. The record is from RNAcentral.
GAUGAACGCUGGCGGCGUGCUUAACACAUGCAAGUCGAACGAUGAAGCCCAGCUUGCUGGGUGGAUUAGUGGCGAACGGGUGAGUAACACGUGAGUAACCUGCCCUUAACUCUGGGAUAAGCCUGGGAAACUGGGUCUAAUACCGGAUAGGAGCGUCCACCGCAUGGUGGGUGUUGGAAAGAUUUAUCGGUUUUGGAUGGACUCGCGGCCUAUCAGCUUGUUGGUGAGGUAAUGGCUCACCAAGGCGACGACGGGUAGCCGGCCUGAGAGGGUGACCGGCCACACUGGGACUGAGACACGGCCCAGACUCCUACGGGAGGCAGCAGUGGGGGAUAUUGCACAAUGGGCGCAAGCCUGAUGCAGCGACGCCGCGUGAGGGAUGACGGCCUUCGGGUUGUAAACCUCUUUCAGUAGGGAAGAAGCGAAAGCGACGGUACCUGCAGAAGAAGCACCGGCUAACUACGUG